GUGCUAUGAUGAUGCUUUCAGUGGUUGACAGUGUUCGUGGAAUACUGUAUGAAACGUCGACAACAAUGUCGAUCCUGAGCGGUUACCUGAGCAC
Molecule: small nucleolar RNA, 94 nt
Organism: Juglans regia (Persian walnut)
Lineage: Eukaryota; Viridiplantae; Streptophyta; Magnoliopsida; Fagales; Juglandaceae
Product: small nucleolar RNA snoR128
Exons: 1
Source: RefSeq, a predicted model, not a curated record